CCUACGGGUGGCUGCAGUGGGGAAUAUUGGGCAAUGGAGGCAACUCUGACCCAGCAACGCCGCGUGAGUGAUGCAGGUCUUCGGAUUGUAAAACUCUUUAAGUGGGGACGAAGAAAGUGACUCUACCCACAGAAUAAGCCGCGGCUAACUACGUGCCAGCAGCCGCGGUAAUACGGAGGAUGCGAGCGUUAUCCGGAUUUAUUGGGUUUAAAGGGUGAGUAGGCGGAAUAUCAAGUCAGCGGUAAAAAUUCGGGGCUCAACCCCGUCGUGCCGUUGAAACUGAUGUUCUUGAGUGGGCGAGAAGUAUGCGGAAUGCGUGGUGUAGCGGUGAAAUGCAUAGAUAUCACGCAGAACUCCGAUUGCGAAGGCAGCAUACCGGCGCCCAACUGACGCUGAAGCACGAAAGCGUGGGUAUCGAACAGGAUUAGAUACCCCUGUAGUC
This 442-nucleotide ribosomal RNA is filed under the name uncultured bacterium. RNAcentral describes it as "partial 16S ribosomal RNA". It matches the Rfam family "Bacterial small subunit ribosomal RNA", at positions 338 to 795 of the family's 1533-position model. The record is from RNAcentral.